GUCGCCUGUGGAUACAGAAGCAUGUCAAUGUCAGCAUUUACAGGUUUGGUAACUCAUGAAAACGUCCGCAAAGUUUAUCUUCAGGGUGAGGAAAAUAGUUUUCAUCGAAUUUGAGUCAAGAGGUUUAGAGGGAUCAGGUACUUCAUCUCGUCUCCCACCAAGGUCAAUAAGUAAAUUACCAAGUUUACAAAAGAUUGUUUCUACUUGAAUAUGAACUCUUAAAAUCACCAUAAUGUUUUCUAAAAUAAAAUAAAAUCACCAUGUUAAUACCGACAAAUUAAGAUUUGGAAUGUUACAUUAGAAUUAUAUAGUAUAUCACUUGGUUCCUAAGAAUCCUCACAGUGAUCCAGAUGAUAACCAGGAUGAUCUCAAGUUAAGGGUUCCCCCCGCCCCAGAACAACAGUUGAUUUACUGAGAAAAUUUACUGUUUCAUAAACUCUUUGAGAAAUGCUGUUGCAUAUUUUACUCUCCUCUUGAAAGUUAAUAAAGGUUCUGAGGUCUAAAGUAAAGACACCUAUUUAAUUUUGUUGCAUCCGUAUUUCCCAAUAUGAAUCUGUAAUGCAGCCUUUGGCACCCAGUAAAAUUAGCAUUCUGUGAAAUGCAUUUUGGGAACUGCUAGAAUGGUCAAACCCAUGGUAUAGUUAGAUGCUUUUUCAAUUUAAGAAGUAUUAGACAAAACUUAAAAGAUUCCUGAAUUGAGUUUGCCAUUCAUUAUAAAAAAAAUCUAAAUGGAAGACAAUGGUUGUUUUUAAUUAAAAAAAAUUCGACUUAUUGAAAUUAAAAAAAAAAACCAAAAAACUAGUUUACCCAUUUCUCCCCCUCCCCCACUCCUGCCUCUGGCAAUCACCAAUCAGUUCUCUGUAUCUACCAGCUUGAAUUUUUUUUUACUUCAUUUAUUUACUUCAUUUUACUUUCAUUUAUGAAAAAACAAAGAUCACAUGAUAUUUGUCUUCCUUUGACUUAUUUCACUUAACAUAAUGCCAUGGAGGUCCAUCCAUGUUAUCACAAAUGGCAAGAUUUCAUGCUUUAUAGCUGAGUAAUACUCCUUUAUAUAUAUAUACCACAUCUUCUCUAUCCAUUCAUCCAUCAAUUGACACUUAGGUUUUUCCAUAUUGUAAACAAUACUGCAAUGAAGUAUUCAAGUUACUCUUUGCAUUUUCUUUGGAUAAAUGCCCAGAAGUGAAAUUGCUGGAUCAUAGGGUAGUUCUACCUUUAAAUUUUUGAAGAACCUCCAACUAUUUUCCAUAGUGGCUGCACCAGUUUACAUUCCCACCAUAAGAGCAGAAGGGUUCCCUUUUCUCCACAUCCUUGCCAACAUUUGUUAUUUCCUGUCUUUUUUAUAAUAGCCAUUCUAACAGGUCUAAGGUGAUAUUUCAUUGUGGGUUUGAUUCACAUUUCCUUGAUGAUUAUUGACGUUGAGCAUCUUUUCAUGUACCUGUUGGUCAUCCGUAUGUCUUCUUCAGAAUGAUGUCUAUUCAGAUUUUCUGCCCUUUUUUAAAAUUUUAUUUUAUUUUAUUUUUUGCUUUUGAGUUGUAUGAGUUCUUUAUAUAUUUUGGACAUUAGUUCCUUAUCAGAUAAUAUUACUUGCAAAUAUUUUCUCCCACUCAAUAGAUAGUCUUUUGAUUUUGAUGGUUUCCUUUGCUGUGCAGAAGUCUUAGUUUGAUGUAGUCCCACUUAUUUUUGCCUUUGUUGCUUUUGCUUUUUGUGUCAGAUACAAAAAAUCAUUGCCAAGACCUAUGUCAAGGAACUUACUGCCUGUGUUUUCGUCCAUUUUGAGUUAAUUUUUGUGUAUGGUGCAAGAUAGGGAUCCACGCAAAAGUUUCAUUCUUUUGCAUGUGGAUAUCCAGUUUUCCCAACACCAAAAGAGACUGUCCCUUCCCCACUAUAUAUUCUUGGCUGCUUUUGUGUACAUUACUUGACCAUAUAUGUGUGGGUUUAUUUCUGGGCUUUCUAUUCUGUUCCAUUGGACUAUGUGUCUGUUUUUAUGCCAGAACCAUACUGUUUUAAUUAUUACAGUUUUGUAAUAUACAGUAGUCCCCCCCUCCCCCACAGUUUCACUUUCUGCAGUUUAAGUUACCCACACAUGACCAUCGCCUGGAAGCAGAUGAUCCUUCUUCUAUCAUCAGAAGUGUUGACAGCAGUGCAAGGAUUGGACAAUGACGGACUUAACACUUGCCAUGUCAACAUCAUUGGAUUGCAGCACUCAUCAAAUCAGAUUUUAAGUAAUCUCUACACCCAACAUGGGACUCAAUCUCACAAUGCCAAGAUCAAGAGUCACAGGCUCCACUGACUGAGCCAGCCGGGCUCCCUUCCUUUUUUCUUUUGAUUAUACAUUGUAUGCUUAAUUUAAAGGUAUACUUCUUAAGGACAAUGCUAGGUACAAAGUAGAUGCUAAAUAAAUUCCUGUUGAAUUGAACUAAAUAAGCAUAACUAACAGAUGCUGAAAUUAUAAACUAUUUUUUAGGUUACUGGAUUAUAAACUAUUAGUAAUAUCUAGCAACUCAUGGGGUCUAAAGAUUUUUAAGUAAAUUGUCUCAAUCAACAUACUUUGAAGUGACAAAUGUCUUGACCUUACAAAGAAAUACUUUCUCAAAAAAGAAAAAUGCAGCAAUUGAACUCACUUUGUCUUAUUAUGAAAAGUCUACCUUCUGCCAUGAAAUAAAAGAAUUGUACUAUACCUUUUCCUUCCCAGGCAUCAAAGGCAUCCAUCAUUUUCUUCAAUUCAGCUACUGAAUAAUAGCUCCAAAUGUACUGAACAUUAUUCCCCGCCUCUCUAGAAAUAUUGCAAAAGAUGAUGAAAACAUACUAAGUAUGAAUGUAUGUGUGUGUGUAUGUAUAUACAGCUAAUACUCGAUAUACUACCAAAUACUUGUUAAUUAAGGGAAAAAAUAUGUUGGCAUUGAAUAGUUGUUCUUCUGCAACUCUUAAGGACAUAUAUAGAUAAUAAUAUACUAUAGAUUAUAUCUAUGACCUAUAUUCAAUCUCUUUUUAAUGUGGUAAAGUACUUGUUAAUUCCACAAUAUAGACGGUACAGACAAAUCAACAAAUCUUUAGAAAUAGGUUUUCUAAAAAAAAUUACCUAACUCCAGGAAAAUUUUAAAAGAUUCAACUUUGACUAAAACUUUCAUAGCAUUGUUCCAGGCACUCAUAUAUCUUAUAUAAACAUCCUGUAAAGAAUUCAGAAAAUGAUGACAUAUUUAGUCACCUAAAAAAACAAGUUCAUGUGAUCAUUUAUUAGUCACUAAUAUGUGACCCAAUCCAACCACCCAGAGAAUUAGAAAAAAACAAAA
This is a long non-coding RNA of Neofelis nebulosa (Clouded leopard), 3290 nucleotides long. RefSeq lists it as uncharacterized. NCBI's taxonomy places the organism in Eukaryota, Metazoa, Chordata, Mammalia, Carnivora, Felidae. The record is from RefSeq and is a predicted model, not a curated record. The transcript has 3 exons.